AUUGAACGCUGGCGGCAGGCCUAACACAUGCCAGUCGAAUGGUAACAGGAAACAGCUUGCUGUUUCGCUGACGAGUGGCGGACGGGUGAGUAAUGUCUGGGAAACUGCCUGAUGGAGGGGGAUAACUACUGGAAACGGUAGCUAAUACCGCAUAACGUCGCAAGACCAAAGAGGGGGACCUUCGGGCCUCUUGCCAUCAGAUGUGCCCAGAUGGGAUUAGCUAGUAGGUGGGGUAACGGCUCACCUAGGCGACGAUCCCUAGCUGGUCUGAGAGGAUGACCAGCCACACUGGAACUGAGACACGGUCCAGACUCCUACGGGAGGCAGCAGUGGGGAAUAUUGCACAAUGGGCGCAAGCCUGAUGCAGCCAUGCCGCGUGUAUGAAGAAGGCCUUCGGGUUGUAAAGUACUUUCAGCGGGGAGGAAGGGAGUAAAGUUAAUACCUUUGCUUAUUGACGUUACCCGCAGAAGAAGCACCGGCUAACUCCGUG
Molecule: ribosomal RNA, 490 nt
Filed under: uncultured bacterium
Lineage: Bacteria
Description: partial 16S ribosomal RNA
Rfam family: Bacterial small subunit ribosomal RNA
Source: RNAcentral